UACGUAGGUGGCAAGCGUUAUCCGGAUUUACUGGGUGUAAAGGGAGCGUAGACGGAAUUGCAAGUCUGAUGUGAAAAUCCGGGGCCCAACCCCGGAACUGCAUUGGAAACUGUAUUUCUAGAGUGUCGGAGAGGCAAGUGGAAUUCCUGGUGUAGCGGUGAAAUGCGUAGAUAUCAGGAGGAACACCAGUGGCGAAGGCGGCUUGCUGGACGAUGACUGACGUUGAGGCUCGAAAGCGUGGGGAGCAAACAGG
Molecule: ribosomal RNA, 253 nt
Filed under: uncultured bacterium
Lineage: Bacteria
Description: partial 16S ribosomal RNA
Rfam family: Bacterial small subunit ribosomal RNA
Source: RNAcentral